This 1286-nucleotide ribosomal RNA is filed under the name Salmonella enterica subsp. enterica serovar Enteritidis. RNAcentral describes it as "partial 23S ribosomal RNA". It matches the Rfam family "Bacterial large subunit ribosomal RNA", at positions 711 to 1978 of the family's 2925-position model. Lineage: Bacteria; Pseudomonadati; Pseudomonadota; Gammaproteobacteria; Enterobacterales; Enterobacteriaceae. The record is from RNAcentral.
AGACCCGAAACCCGGUGAUCUAGCCAUGGGCAGGUUGAAGGUUGGGUAACACUAACUGGAGGACCGAACCGACUAAUGUUGAAAAAUUAGCGGAUGACCUGUGGCUGGGGGUGAAAGGCCAAUCAAACCGGGAGAUAGCUGGUUCUCCCCGAAAGCUAUUUAGGUAGCGCCUCGUGAAUUCAUCUCCGGGGGUAGAGCACUGUUUCGGCUAGGGGGCCAUCCCGGCUUACCAACCCGAUGCAAACUGCGAAUACCGGAGAAUGUUAUCACGGGAGACACACGGCGGGUGCUAACGUCCGUCGUGAAGAGGGAAACAACCCAGACCGCCAGCUAAGGUCCCAAAGUCAUGGUUAAGUGGGAAACGAUGUGGGAAGGCCCAGACAGCCAGGAUGUUGGCUUAGAAGCAGCCAUCAUUUAAAGAAAGCGUAAUAGCUCACUGGUCGAGUCGGCCUGCGCGGAAGAUGUAACGGGGCUAAACCAUGCACCGAAGCUGCGGCAGCGACACUGUGUGUUGUUGGGUAGGGGAGCGUUCUGUAAGCCUGUGAAGGUGUGUCGUGAGGCAUGCUGGAGGUAUCAGAAGUGCGAAUGCUGACAUAAGUAACGAUAAAGCGGGUGAAAAGCCCGCUCGCCGGAAGACCAAGGGUUCCUGUCCAACGUUAAUCGGGGCAGGGUGAGUCGACCCCUAAGGCGAGGCCGAAAGGCGUAGUCGAUGGGAAACGGGUUAAUAUUCCCGUACUUGGUGUUACUGCGAAGGGGGGACGGAGAAGGCUAUGUUGGCCGGGCGACGGUUGUCCCGGUUUAAGCGUGUAGGUGUGUGUUCCAGGUAAAUCCGGUUCACUUUAACACUGAGGCGUGACGACGAGGCACUACGGUGCUGAAGCAACAAAUGCCCUGCUUCCAGGAAAAGCCUCUAAGCAUCAGGUAACAUCAAAUCGUACCCCAAACCGACACAGGUGGUCAGGUAGAGAAUACCAAGGCGCUUGAGAGAACUCGGGUGAAGGAACUAGGCAAAAUGGUGCCGUAACUUCGGGAGAAGGCACGCUGACACGUAGGUGAAGUGAUUUACUCAUGGAGCUGAAGUCAGUCGAAGAUACCAGCUGGCUGCAACUGUUUAUUAAAAACACAGCACUGUGCAAACACGAAAGUGGACGUAUACGGUGUGACGCCUGCCCGGUGCCGGAAGGUUAAUUGAUGGGGUCAGCGCAAGCGAAGCUCCUGAUCGAAGCCCCGGUAAACGGCGGCCGUAACUAUAACGGUCCUAAGGUAGCGAAAUUCCUUGUCGGGUA